RNAcentral lists this ribosomal RNA (202 nucleotides) under Escherichia coli. Its description in RNAcentral is "partial 23S ribosomal RNA". It matches the Rfam family "Bacterial large subunit ribosomal RNA", at positions 1549 to 1749 of the family's 2925-position model. Lineage: Bacteria; Pseudomonadati; Pseudomonadota; Gammaproteobacteria; Enterobacterales; Enterobacteriaceae. The record is from RNAcentral.
AUCAAGGCUGAGGCGUGAUGACGAGGCACUACGGUGCUGAAGCAACAAAUGCCCUGCUUCCAGGAAAAGCCUCUAAGCAUCAGGUAACAUCAAAUCGUACCCCAAACCGACACAGGUGGUCAGGUAGAGAAUACCAAGGCGCUUGAGAGAACUCGGGUGAAGGAACUAGGCAAAAUGGUGCCGUAACUUCGGGAGAAGGCAC